AAUAGAUACCCGGGUAGUCCACGCCGUAAACGAUGAGUGCUAAGUGUUAGAGGGGUUUUCCGCCCCUUUAGUGCUGCAGCAAACGCAUUAAGCACUCCGCCUGGGGGAGUACGGCCGCAAGGCUGAAAACUCAAAGGAAUUGACGGGGGCCCGCACAAGCGGUGGAGCAUGUGGUUUAAUUCGAAGCAACGCGAAGAACCUUACCAGGUCUUGACAUCCUCUGACACUCCUAGAGAUAGGACGUUCCCCUUCCGGGGGACGAGAGUGACAGGUGGUGCAUGGUUGUCGUCAGCUCGUGUCGUGAGAUGUUGGGUUAAGUCCCGCAACGAGCGCAACCCUUGAUCUUAGUUGCCAGCAUUAAAUUGGGGCACUCUAAGGUGACUGCCGGUGACAAACCGGAGGAAGGUGGGGAUGACGUCAAAUCAUCAUGCCCCUUAUGACCUGGGCUACACACGUGCUACAAUGGAUGGUACAAAGGGCAGCAAAACCGCGAGGUCGAGCAAAUCCCAUAAAACCAUUCUCAGUUCGGAUUGUAGGCUGCAAC
RNAcentral lists this ribosomal RNA (544 nucleotides) under uncultured bacterium. Its description in RNAcentral is "bacterial SSU rRNA". It matches the Rfam family "Bacterial small subunit ribosomal RNA", at positions 777 to 1311 of the family's 1533-position model. The record is from RNAcentral.